UCUUGCGCAAUGGGCGAAAGCCUGACGCAGCCAUGCCGCGUGAAUGAUGAAGGUCUUAGGAUUGUAAAGUUCUUUCGCUCGUGACGAUGAUGACGGUAACGAGAGAAGAAGCCCCGGCUAACUUCGUGCCAGCAGCCGCGGUAAUACGAAGGGGGCUAGCGUUGUCCGGAAUUACUGGGCGUAAAGGGCGCGUAGGCGGUUUUGCAAGCCAGAGGUGAAAUGCCUGAGCUCAACUUAGGAAUUGCCUUUGGGACUGCGAGGCUUUGAGGACGAGAGAGGUGAGUGGAAUUCCCAGUGUAGAGGUGAAAUUCGUAGAUAUUGGGAAGAACACCGGUGGCGAAGGCGGCUCACUGACUCGAUACUGACGCUGAGCGCGAAG
This 379-nucleotide ribosomal RNA is filed under the name uncultured bacterium. Its description in RNAcentral is "bacterial SSU rRNA". It matches the Rfam family "Bacterial small subunit ribosomal RNA", at positions 362 to 758 of the family's 1533-position model. The record is from RNAcentral.